Molecule: ribosomal RNA, 425 nt
Filed under: uncultured bacterium
Lineage: Bacteria
Description: bacterial SSU rRNA
Rfam family: Bacterial small subunit ribosomal RNA
Source: RNAcentral
GAAUAUUGGACAAUGGGGGCAACCCUGAUCCAGCCAUGCCGCGUGUGUGAAGAAGGCCUUCGGGUUGUAAAGCACUUUAAGUGGGGAGAAAGGCUCGGCAGCUAAUAUCUGCCGGGAUUGAUGCUACCCAAGGAAUAAGCACCGGCUAACUCGGUGCCAGCAGCCGCGGUAAUACAGAGGGUGCAAGCGUUAAUCGGAAUUACUGGGCGUAAAGCGCGCGUAGGCGGCUGAUUAAGUCGGAUGUGAAAUCCCCGGGCUCAACCUGGGAACUGCAUUCGAUACUGAUCGGCUAGAGUAUGAGAGAGGGAGGUAGAAUUCCACGUGUAGCGGUGAAAUGCGUAGAUAUGUGGAGGAAUACCGGUGGCGAAGGCGGCCUCCUGGCUUAAUACUGACGCUGAGGUGCGAAAGCGUGGGGAGCAAACAGG